CCGAGCGUCCCGGCCCCCUAGGGCUGGCGGCCUCACCAUCCUUUGCUUAAAACUCUCCUUGCGGGGCCCCCCCAGAGGGCCCUUGGACCCGGCCGCUGGGGCAGACCCCCCUCCGGGAAACAGGGGGCGCCCCGCCCUCCGCUCCGGCAGCCGGGCCCGAACCCAAACCUUGAAACGUGUCUUUUUCGGCCCAGCCGAACCAAACA
Molecule: unclassified non-coding RNA, 206 nt
Filed under: soil metagenome
Description: partial internal transcribed spacer 1
Source: RNAcentral